Molecule: non-coding RNA, 1691 nt
Organism: Coffea arabica (coffee)
Lineage: Eukaryota; Viridiplantae; Streptophyta; Magnoliopsida; Gentianales; Rubiaceae
Source: RefSeq, a predicted model, not a curated record
CCCAGCCUACCCCUAUUCUAAAAUUCAUUUUCCCCGGACACAUUUUGCCAAUUCCAGAUUGGAAGCGAAACAAUCAAGAACGUCAGAGCAGUUAAAUUACAGGGGUAAAAAAAAGAACGCACUUUUUGAUUGCAUUAAUUUUUCAUUCCCCUGAGAAAUCCCUUUUUGAACAGCAAUCACAUCAAUGGAGAAAGAAAAGAAAACAGAUGAAAAAGAAGAAAUUGAAGAAGCUAUUGAGCUGAUUCUCUUCCAUGUCUCAGAAUGCUACGUCUAUUUGUUUUUUAGGUGCUGCUGUACUGUGGUUUGCAAAGUUGUGAAACUAAAUGCUUGAUGGGCAAAAGAUUGAUGUAUUCAUUUCCAGAAGUUAUAACUGUAAGCAAAUUUCAAUGCCAAAAUUGUUAACAUAUCAUUUUCAAACAUCUUCAAGUGGAGCUUGCAGUUUCAACUAUCCUGCUUCAAUAGAAAAUUUACUGUACUAAAAAAAGUUCUCCAACUAUGCAAAAUUUAUGUCUAGAUUGUAUGACUGAUGACAAAGGGGAGAAGCCAAUAUUUGAUUAAUUGAAGAGAAGAAAUUUCUGAACCAUUUCUAAAAUAUUCAUUCUUACAAAUUGAGGUCGAGUCCAGAAAUGAACUUGUAUGAGCCAAAAUUGACAAGUUGAGAGCUGACGCUUGUGGAACAAAGUAGAUUUUUGAACCUCAAAAAGUGAUGGGUAAGAUGCACAAGUCAACUCCAUCAGCCACAUCUUUGCUGGACAAGAAGUCCCGCCGAAAAUGUUGUAUCAAGAUUCAAGAGGAGCUCUCCCAAUAUUCUUGCAAGAGAGGAUAAUUUUGACGAGAGAGACCUCAAGAGGAUCUUACAGAAUAUCUUCAUAUGUUAUAGCAAACACCCUAGUGUUUGUUGCCUUCCUUUUGCAACUAUCUCCUCUUUACUACUCCACUUCACUGGCUAGUUGGACUCAGACACAAAAUCGAUGGAUUCCUUUAUUUCUGUCUGGUGGCUUGGAUGGUUCUCUCAAUGGCAAAUUCUUUUGCAGCUGCUUCAGUGCUCUGGUACCGAAUUUCAUAUCAGGAAUGUCUUUGAUUGCAGGCAUCAUGGGUGCAUUCUUGUUUUCUCGGGGUAAUUCAUAUCUAACAAAGAAAUACCCAAGUAUUGGCUCUUCAUGCACUAUUUGAGCUUGAUGAAGUAUCCUCUUGAACGUCGUCUACUAAACGAGUUUGGAGGAUACAAAGGCCGAGGGAAAUGUGUAGAAGGGUUGAAGUAGGAUGUUUGAUGUAUGGUGAUGCAUUCUUGAGAAAUCUAGGCAUAGAAGAGUCACAAAAAUAGAGUAACUUAGUUGUAAUGGUGGCUUUCAUCGUGGGCUACAGACUUCCCUGUUAUCCGACUCUUUGGUAUAGAUCUUGCAGGACCAGAAGUUAGAAGCAGCUAAUGAUACCCAUUGCUGAUAAAUUUUCUAGGGAUUGUUUGGACAAGUAGAAGCAACUAAUGAUACCAAUUGCUGAUAAAUUUCCAGGCUUUGUACAUGAAAAACAUGGGGAGCAGAGAGUGUUGUUAUGUCUUUAAAUUAGAGAAAAUACCCUUUGUAUAUGAUACCCUUUGUAUAUGCACUUUUCUUGGUCAGCUCUCUUGGCGUUCCUGAUGGUUUGUUGAGCCCGAUUGCAUUCAAUUGGAUUGAAGCAAACUCCUGGUCCUA